AGAUUUACACACAGUUUCAGAUACUUUUGUGCACUUGAACACUCUAAUAAGUAGUACGCAAACUUGAGGUCUUCAUCCUUAAGUGGACAAAUACUUGGAUGUAUAAUUAAAAGUUAAUACAGUGAUUUUUAUUUAUAAUUUUAAAAAUUAGGAAAUAAGGUUUUUUUUAUUGCUAGUCUAAGUUUCCUCUUUCUCCUUUUAGCCAUCACAGUUUGAACAAUGUGUCAUACAUUCUAUCCAGUCACUUAAAGGAGUUUUGGACUGUAAACCUGGGGAGACCAGCGUCUUUCAGCAAACAAAAAUACAGGAGGACGUGUGCCAUCUGAGCAUUAAUAUCAUGCAGGUAUUCAUUGACUGCCUGGAGCAGCUGAGCACGAAGCCUGACAGUGAUAUAGACACUACCCAUCUUCCAGGCGACAUGUCAUCUUCAGAUUUAUUUGGAAGCAUCCAUGAAGAUUUCAGUUUAUCUGUAGUAAGUAUUAUUGCUGUUCAUUAAACCCAAAAUUAAGGCAAAUUAUCUAAGCAAUAUGUUAUAAUUCAUUUAGAAGUAUGUUCUAUUGUAUAUUGUACUAAUUUUAUUUCUUUGCAAAUGGAAAUAUUACUAGCAGAGUAUGUUUUGCAAACUGUAAUAUAAUAGAAAUUCGUGGUUGGCUAGCCAAGAAUUUAGAUGUCUGCUUUAGUUAAAAGCUUGCACAAACACUUAAAUUGGCUCAUAACUCCACAUCAGUUGAUUUAUUUGCAUAUACAGUUGUACACAAAAGUUUAGGCAUCUCUGGUUAAAGUUGUCUGUUUCAUCAAUAUCUAAAUGAACAGAAGCUACAACCUCUUUGUGGUAGAAAGUUAAAAGGCAUCUUCCUGUACAAUUGAAUCCAUAUCGACUAUUUAUAUCCUAUCAUUUGUUGAAUGGGGAAAAAAUAAAUACGGCAGAAGCAGAAAUUUGGUCCUGUUUUUGCAGUUAAUUAGUUCUGCUAUUUUCCAAAGUUGAAGAUGGUAAAAAAAGAAUUGAUUCAUUAAGAUUCGCUAGCUAGAUAAAAGAUACUUUGCCAGGAGAACAAAUAGUGCUACCUUCUUUCCCUCUCCAGUUGUGAUUGUCCUCUGUCUACUUUGCUUCUUCUAAGCAACGUAUUGUAACAUCACACUUAAAAGUAGGAGAAAUCUGCAAAAAAUCAAAACACUUUCUGCAAUGGAAAAUCUGGAAGACCAAGAGAAAUUUCUGCUAAAACUGUCACACAGCUAGUCAGAUCUGCAAAACAGAAGCCAUGAAUCACUGGAAACAACCUGCUGAAAAAUUUAGCUGACACUGUAGUAAUUAUCUCUAGGUCCAUAGUAAAUGAUUACACAUACAGCCACGAUCUAACCUU
Molecule: non-coding RNA, 1361 nt
Organism: Thamnophis sirtalis
Lineage: Eukaryota; Metazoa; Chordata; Lepidosauria; Squamata; Natricidae
Source: RefSeq, a predicted model, not a curated record